Myotis lucifugus (little brown bat) is the source of this 136-nucleotide small nucleolar RNA. Its record names the gene SNORA71. It matches the Rfam family "Small nucleolar RNA SNORA71". From Rfam's summary of the family: The members of this family belong to the H/ACA class of snoRNAs which bind a number of proteins (including dyskerin, Gar1p and Nop10p) to form snoRNP complexes. This class of snoRNAs are thought to guide the sites of modification of uridines to pseudouridines by forming direct base pairing interactions with substrate RNAs. NCBI's taxonomy places the organism in Eukaryota, Metazoa, Chordata, Mammalia, Chiroptera, Vespertilionidae. The record is from Ensembl.
ACCAAGAUCUGUUAGUGCCAGAAAGGGCUGGUAUGUGCCCUGAUCAUUGAUAGUGCAGGGAGAGGAUUGCUGAAAGGAGUUUUCCCCAUGUUUGAAGGGUCCAGCUGUCCCUUCCAAACCCUGGAACUUUCAAACA